RNAcentral lists this ribosomal RNA (1237 nucleotides) under 'Capsicum annuum' leaf phytoplasma. RNAcentral describes it as "bacterial SSU rRNA". It matches the Rfam family "Bacterial small subunit ribosomal RNA", at positions 170 to 1407 of the family's 1533-position model. Lineage: Bacteria; Bacillati; Mycoplasmatota; Mollicutes; Acholeplasmatales; Acholeplasmataceae. The record is from RNAcentral.
UGGAUAGGAGACAAGAGGGCAUCUUCUUGUUUUUAAAAGACCUAGCAAUAGGUAUGCUUAGGGAGGAGCUUGCGUCACAUUAGUUAGUUGGUGGGGUAAAGGCCUACCAAGACUAUGAUGUGUAGCCGGGCUGAGAGGUUGAACGGCCACAUUGGGACUGAGACACGGCCCAAACUCCUACGGGAGGCAGCAGUAGGGAAUUUUCGGCAAUGGAGGAAACUCUGACCGAGCAACGCCGCGUGAACGAUGAAGUAUUUCGGUACGUAAAGUUCUUUUAUUAGGGAAGAAUAAAUGAUGGAAAAAUCAUUCUGACGGUACCUAAUGAAUAAGCCCCGGCUAACUAUGUGCCAGCAGCCGCGGUAAUACAUAGGGGGCAAGCGUUAUCCGGAAUUAUUGGGCGUAAAGGGUGCGUAGGCGGUUAAAUAAGUUUAUGGUCUAAGUGCAAUGCUCAACAUUGUGAUGCUAUAAAAACUGUUUAGCUAGAGUAAGAUAGAGGCAAGUGGAAUUCCAUGUGUAGUGGUAAAAUGCGUAAAUAUAUGGAGGAACACCAGUAGCGAAGGCGGCUUGCUGGGUCUUUACUGACGCUGAGGCACGAAAGCGUGGGGAGCAAACAGGAUUAGAUACCCUGGUAGUCCACGCCGUAAACGAUGAGUACUAAACGUUGGGUAAAACCAGUGUUGAAGUUAACACAUUAAGUACUCCGCCUGAGUAGUACGUACGCAAGUAUGAAACUUAAAGGAAUUGACGGGACUCCGCACAAGCGGUGGAUCAUGUUGUUUAAUUCGAAGGUACCCGAAAAACCUCACCAGGUCUUGACAUGCUUCUGCAAAGCUGUAGAAACACAGUGGAGGUUAUCAGUUGCACAGGUGGUGCAUGGUUGUCGUCAGCUCGUGUCGUGAGAUGUUGGGUUAAGUCCCGCAACGAGCGCAACCCUUAUUGUUAGUUACCAGCACGUAAUGGUGGGGACUUUAGCAAGACUGCCAGUGAUAAAUUGGAGGAAGGUGGGGACGACGUCAAAUCAUCAUGCCCCUUAUGACCUGGGCUACAAACGUGAUACAAUGGCUGUUACAAAGGGUAGCUGAAGCGCAAGUUUUUGGCGAAUCUCAAAAAAACAGUCUCAGUUCGGAUUGAAGUCUGCAACUCGACUUCAUGAAGUUGGAAUCGCUAGUAAUCGCGAAUCAGCAUGUCGCGGUGAAUACGUUCUCGGGGUUUGUACACACCGCCCGUCAAACCACGA